Molecule: ribosomal RNA, 468 nt
Filed under: uncultured bacterium
Lineage: Bacteria
Description: partial 16S ribosomal RNA
Rfam family: Bacterial small subunit ribosomal RNA
Source: RNAcentral
GACGAACGCUGGCGGCGUGCUUAACACAUGCAAGUCGAACGGAAAGGCCCUGCGUUUGUGGGGUGCUCGAGUGGCGAACGGGUGAGUAACACGUGAGUAACCUGCCCUUGCCUUUGGGAUAACUUCAGGAAACUGGGGCUAAUACCGCAUAGGAGCUCCUGCUGCACGGUGGGGGCUGGAAAGUUUCGGCGGUUGGGGAUGGACUCGCGGCUUAUCAGCCUGUUGGUGGGGUAGUGGCUUACCAAGGCUUUGACGGGUAGCCGGCCUGAGAGGGUGACCGGCCACAUUGGGACUGAGGUACGGCCCAGACUCCUACGGGAGGCAGGAGUGGGGAAUAGUGCAAAAUGGGCGGAAGCCUGAUGCAGCAACGCCGCGUGCGGGAUGACGGCCUUCGGGUUGUAAACCGCGUCCGCCUGUGACGGAGCGUGAGUGACGGUAAUGGGUAAAGAAGCACCGGCUAACUACGUG